RNAcentral lists this transfer RNA (72 nucleotides) under Candidatus Iainarchaeum sp. Its description in RNAcentral is "tRNA-Asp". It matches the Rfam family "tRNA". Rfam says of the family: Transfer RNA (tRNA) molecules are approximately 80 nucleotides in length. Their secondary structure includes four short double-helical elements and three loops (D, anti-codon, and T loops). Further hydrogen bonds mediate the characteristic L-shaped molecular structure. tRNAs have two regions of fundamental functional importance: the anti-codon, which is responsible for specific mRNA codon recognition, and the 3' end, to which the tRNAs corresponding amino acid is attached (by aminoacyl-tRNA synthetases). tRNAs cope with the degeneracy of the genetic code in two manners: having more than one tRNA (with a specific anti-codon) for a particular amino acid; and 'wobble' base-pairing, i.e. permitting non-standard base-pairing at the 3rd anti-codon position. The record is from RNAcentral. Lineage: Archaea; Nanobdellati; Candidatus Iainarchaeota; Candidatus Iainarchaeia; Candidatus Iainarchaeales; Candidatus Iainarchaeaceae.
GCCCGCUUGGUCUAGCGGUUAGGAUGCCACCCUGUCACGGUGGCGGUGCGGGUUCGAUUCCCGCAGCGGGCG